Molecule: transfer RNA, 73 nt
Filed under: Candidatus Omnitrophota bacterium
Lineage: Bacteria; Pseudomonadati; Candidatus Omnitrophota
Description: tRNA-Met
Rfam family: tRNA
About the family: Transfer RNA (tRNA) molecules are approximately 80 nucleotides in length. Their secondary structure includes four short double-helical elements and three loops (D, anti-codon, and T loops). Further hydrogen bonds mediate the characteristic L-shaped molecular structure. tRNAs have two regions of fundamental functional importance: the anti-codon, which is responsible for specific mRNA codon recognition, and the 3' end, to which the tRNAs corresponding amino acid is attached (by aminoacyl-tRNA synthetases). tRNAs cope with the degeneracy of the genetic code in two manners: having more than one tRNA (with a specific anti-codon) for a particular amino acid; and 'wobble' base-pairing, i.e. permitting non-standard base-pairing at the 3rd anti-codon position.
Source: RNAcentral
GGCGGCGUAGCUCAGUUGGCAGAGCAGGGGACUCAUAAGCCCCGUGUCGGGGGUUCGAUUCCCUCCGCCGCCA